AACGAGCGCUGGCGGCAUGCCUAACACAUGCAAGUCGAACGAAGUCUUCGGACUUACUGGCGCACGGGUGAGUAACGCGUGGGAACCUGCCCUUCGGUACGGAAUAACGUCGGGAAACUGACGCUAAUACCGUAUAUGUCUCUGGAUGAAAGAUUUAUCGCCGGAGGAGGGGCCCGCUGCUGAUUAGCUCGUUGGUGAGGUAAUGGCUCACCAAGGCGACGAUCAGUAGCUGGUCUGAGAGGAUGAUCAGCCACACUGGGACUGAGACACGGCCCAGACUCCUACGUGAGGCAGCAGUGGGGAAUAUUGGACAAUGGGGGCAACCCUGAUCCAGCAAUGCCGCGUGAGUGAUGAAGGCCUUCGGGUUGUAAAGCUCUUUUGGCAGGGACGAUGAUGACGGUACCUGCAGAAUAAGCCCCGGCUAACUUCGUGCCAGCCGCCGCCGUAA
RNAcentral lists this ribosomal RNA (448 nucleotides) under uncultured bacterium. RNAcentral's name for it is "partial 16S ribosomal RNA". It matches the Rfam family "Bacterial small subunit ribosomal RNA", at positions 29 to 523 of the family's 1533-position model. The record is from RNAcentral.